RNA transcript from Humulus lupulus (European hop), 1901 nucleotides. RefSeq lists it as uncharacterized. NCBI's taxonomy places the organism in Eukaryota, Viridiplantae, Streptophyta, Magnoliopsida, Rosales, Cannabaceae. The record is from RefSeq and is a predicted model, not a curated record. The transcript has 4 exons.
CUCCAUAGCUAAAUCUCCUUUGAAAGGGACAAACAAUAUUAGAAAAUGAUAAAAAUUACAAAAAAGAAAAAAGAAAUUAGCCGUAGAUUGUCUCAACUGGAAAUUUCGCCAUGAAAAGGGGUAAACUUUCCCUGUAAAACCCUAAAUCGAAAGCAAGAAGAAGAAGAAAGAGAAUGGCCAACGAAAGCAUAAGCGAGCAAGAGAGACACCAGAGGGAGCAGAUUCUGGAGCUCGAUCACGAGGAAUUGCUCAUCGAAGAGGUCGACGACGACUCAUCCGACGAAGAUCGUCACGCUAUAGGUAGUAGCAGCAGUGGUGGAUUAACUUUCAAUACAGGUUUGGCUUCGCUACACACAUAUCUUGGCAAUGUCGAAGACACACACCAUAGGGAUAGGGUUGGGUUUUUGGAAGGUGGUGAUAUCUUUAGUCUUCCGAUCUUCUAUCUUGAAGGGGUUGUUUUGUUCCCUGAGGCAAUCCUUCCUCUCCGAGUUAUCGAACCCAAUUUCAUAGCUGCCAUCGAGAGAGCUUUAACACAAGUUGAUGAUGUAUCUUCCUCUAUAAUUGGUGUGGUUCGAGCUCACAGAAAUGGUAACAGUGGUCAAAGAGCAAGCUUUUCAAGUGUUGGGACUACUGCAGAGAUUCGACAGUACCGGAGAUUAGAUGAUGGUACAUUGAAUAUUGUCACUCGUGGGCAGCACAGAUUCCGUUUAAGACGUCCUUAUAUUGAUUCAGAAGGGGUUCCUUGUGGUGAAAUCCAAAUCAUCAAGGAAGAUUUACCGCUGAGGACCCCAAUCGAUGCUUUGGGAGAUCGGCUGCCUUUAAAUAAGGGUUCAGAAGAGAAUUCAGAUGAAAGCUUUGAAAGUUCCCUCUCAUUGACAGAAAAGAGAGUUCACCAAUCUGCAAUUGUUUCUUGUUCUGAACCUGAGAAUGGUGGAGAUUCUGGCUUGGGAUUGGGAAAGAGUUCCAUGUCAUUGUCAAGAACGCAUUCACAGCACGUUAAUCAGUCGCGGAGGAGAUUUUCGAGAACUUUCUGGCCAUUUUGGGUUUAUCGCAUGUAUGAUUCAUAUUGUCUUGCUCAAAAGGCUUCAGAUAUGUGGAAACAGAUAGUUGGAGCACCAAGUAUGGAAGGCCUGGUGAAGAAGCCUGAUCUUUUGUCAUUUUACAUCGCCAGUAAAAUUCCAGUGUCUGAAUCUACAAGGCAAGAGCUUCUGGAGAUUGAUGGUAUAUCCUAUAGGUUGCGCCGGGAAAUUGAGCUACUUGAGAGUGUUAAUCUCAUUAAAUGUAGACACUGUCAGACUGUAAUUGCAAGGCGGAGUGAUAUGCUGGCGAUGUCUAGUGAUGGUCCUCUUGGUGCUUAUGUAAACUCACAUGGUUUUGUGCAUGAGGUCAUUACUCUGUACAGAGCAAAUGACUUAACACUUGUGGGGGUACCAGUGAGAGAAUACAGUUGGUUUCCUGGGUAUGCAUGGACAAUAACAAACUGUGCUUCUUGUGGAAACCAGAUGGGGUGGCUCUUUACAGCCACAAAGAAGAAUUUGAAGCCUAGGCUGUUUUGGGGUAUUCGGAGUUCCGAAGUAUCUAUAUGAUAGCACACGAUAAUCAACACCUGUAACGUUCAUUCUACCUUCCUUGAGUACUUCAAUCAUCUCUGUUUUCUACUGGUUGGUUGAAAGGUCUCACAAUGGUGAACUCAAGACCAUUUUCUGCACCUUCAUCUGAAUUGGACGGAGUAUGAGAUAUUAGAUGGAAAAUGUUCUCUGCUUAUAGUAGAUUUCACUGUAAAUUGAGCUAAUUAAAGCACAUAUCAUGGAAAGAAAGAUGUUGGCUUUGUGUAAUUAUAUAAUUUAUAUAAGCAGCUUCUGAAAGCUUUAUUAGCUAUAUAUCAAAUUUUGAAAGCUUUA